GUAGGUGAACCUGCGGAAGGAUCAUUAACACGUAUCCACGUAUAAACCCAAUGUGCUUAUUUGUUGUUGUACCCUGUCAGAAGACUGAGUGUGAGUGCGGUCGGGAGUGGUGAAGGCGUUUCGGCGCUUUUGACCGACUGUGCUUGGAGGACGCCUCACGGCGUUCUCAGCUUGGGCUUCGCUAGUACAGGUUUUGUUCCUCUCACCAUUGGAACUACCCUUUAUUUCUUUAACCCCUUGUAACAACUAUUCUAAUUCUAUGUAGUAGCUGGAAACGGCUAUUAUAAUAAUACGAAACGUUUGACAACUCUUAGCAACGGAUAUCUUGGUUCUC
This 334-nucleotide unclassified non-coding RNA is filed under the name rhizosphere metagenome. RNAcentral's name for it is "partial ribosomal RNA internal transcribed spacer region". The record is from RNAcentral.